GCCGUACCUGGGGAGGGGACCACGGAUCGGAUAAAAGAGCAGGAAGAGGAAACGGGUCGAUGCAGGUCGGACCCAAAGCCAACUCGGGUUCAACAGGUUGACGCCGUGGAAGAAGAACAAAAACCUUUCAACCCACAAUGACAACCGCUUGUCAGUGGAGGAUGAAGGAAGACACUUUGACUCCGAAAAGCGGAACUGGUGCCGCCGGACGACCGCGAAGACCGAGUCGAAGCCCUGCUCCGUGAUCAUCUCCAGGGCCUCCUUCAGGUGGAACGGGUGGAGACACGGGGAGGUGGCCUG
Long non-coding RNA from Cyclopterus lumpus (lumpfish), 300 nucleotides. RefSeq lists it as uncharacterized. The transcript has 3 exons. The record is from RefSeq and is a predicted model, not a curated record. Lineage: Eukaryota; Metazoa; Chordata; Actinopteri; Perciformes; Cyclopteridae.